RNAcentral lists this ribosomal RNA (214 nucleotides) under Madura fuscoclavata. RNAcentral describes it as "partial large subunit ribosomal RNA". Lineage: Eukaryota; Metazoa; Arthropoda; Insecta; Hemiptera; Coreidae. The record is from RNAcentral.
CUAAGUCUGUUCGACUUUUAAAUCUUUACAUGAUCUGAGUUCAAACCGGCGUGAGCCAGGUUGGUUUCUAUCUGCAAUUGUUUAUUAUGUUUUAGUACGAAAGGACCAAAUAUAAAUAAUAUUUAUUUAUUUUUUGAAUAAUAAUUAAACUAUUUUGGCAGAAUAAGUGUGAUAAAUUUAGAAUUUAUUUAUGUAAUUUAUAUUACAAAUAGUA